Long non-coding RNA from Epinephelus moara (kelp grouper), 322 nucleotides. RefSeq lists it as uncharacterized. NCBI's taxonomy places the organism in Eukaryota, Metazoa, Chordata, Actinopteri, Perciformes, Serranidae. The transcript is spliced from 3 exons. The record is from RefSeq and is a predicted model, not a curated record.
UGAGAUGGUUGCAAUAACUGAUGCAAGCCCCUCCAGUGCUGCUCCAGUUGGAGUAGGAUGCGACAAUUGGCUUUGGGACUCUGAAGACGAUAUUUCAUCUGUUUCUGCCCCUGUGGGUAAACCAGGUCCCAGCAACAAGCCCAGGCCUGUGCAGUUCUCCUCUCCAGCCUGAGCCUCCUCCAGGUGGGCCAGACACUCCUCCAUGGGCUCAUCCUGGUUCACACGUAACUGAGGAGGACACAGCAGCCUGGACAGAGUUUAUCUCACCCGUACAAAGCUGGCAGGGAACCAGCCCUCGCUGUCCAUGAUGCGACCCCACCAC